This 506-nucleotide ribosomal RNA is filed under the name uncultured bacterium. RNAcentral's name for it is "partial 16S ribosomal RNA". It matches the Rfam family "Bacterial small subunit ribosomal RNA", at positions 899 to 1397 of the family's 1533-position model. The record is from RNAcentral.
ACUCAAAGGAAUAGACGGGGGCUCACACAAGCGGUGGAGCAUGUGGAUCAAUUCGAAGCAACGCGCAGAACCUUACCUAGGUUUGACAUGCACGGAUGCCCUCGGGGAAACUCGAGUAAGCUGCCUUUGGUGAAACGUGCACAGGUGCUGCAUGGCUGUCGUCAGCUCGUGCUGUGAAGUGUCGGGUUAAGUCCCUUAACGAGCGAAACCCUUAUCGCUAGUUGCCAGCGGGUCAAGCCGGGAACUCUAGUGAGACUGCCGGCGUCAAGCCGGAGGAAGGUGGGGACGACGUCAAGUCAUCAUGGCCUUUAUGCCUAGGGUGUCACACGUGCUACAAUGGGGUGUCACAGAGCGAUGCAAGACCGCAAGGUGGAGCAAAUCGCAGAAAACACCCCUCAGUUCGGAUUGAGGUCUGCAACCCGACCUCAUGAAGCUGGAAUCGCUAGUAAUCGCGUAUCAGCCAUGACGCGGUGAAUAUGUUCCUGAGCCUUGCACACACCGCCCGU